Marinitoga piezophila KA3 is the source of this 143-nucleotide regulatory RNA element. It matches the Rfam family "Ribosomal protein L10 leader". Rfam says of the family: This family is a putative r-protein leader autoregulatory structure found in B. subtilis and other low-GC Gram-positive bacteria. It is located in the 5' untranslated regions of mRNAs encoding ribosomal proteins L10 and L12 (rplJ-rplL). NCBI's taxonomy places the organism in Bacteria, Thermotogati, Thermotogota, Thermotogae, Petrotogales, Petrotogaceae. The record is from Rfam.
CUCAGGAAAUAAAUAGUACUGAAGACAGCAGGUAAUAUUAUAAUGUGGUGAAAACCCGCCUGCCGAGGUACGCUGAAGAUAAAACAAUAAAUGUUUUAGUCCUUCUGCGGUCCUCGUCAGGACCGCAGAUUUUUUUUGGAGGA